UACGUAGGGGGCUAGCGUUGUCCGGAAUCAUUGGGCGUAAAGCGCGUGUAGGCGGCCCGGUAAGUCCGCUGUGAAAGUCGGGGGCUCAACCCUCGAAUGCCGGUGGAUACUGUCGGGCUAGAGUACGGAAGAGGCGAGUGGAAUUCCUGGUGUAGCGGUGAAAUGCGCAGAUAUCAGGAGGAACACCCAUUGCGAAGGCAGCUCGCUGGGACGUUACUGACGCUGAGGAGCGAAAGCCAGGGGAGCAAACGGG
RNAcentral lists this ribosomal RNA (253 nucleotides) under uncultured bacterium. Its description in RNAcentral is "partial 16S ribosomal RNA". It matches the Rfam family "Bacterial small subunit ribosomal RNA", at positions 524 to 776 of the family's 1533-position model. The record is from RNAcentral.